CCUACGGGAGGCUGCAGUGGGGAAUAUUGCACAAUGGGCGAAAGCCUGAUGCAGCAACGCCGCGUGAAGGAAGAAGGGUUUCGGCUCGUAAACUUCUAUCAACAGGGACGAAAGAAAUGACGCUACCUGAAUAUGAAGCCCCGGCUAACUACGUGCCAGCAGCCGCGGGAAUACGUAGGGGGCAAGCGUUAUCCGGAAUUACUGGGUGUAAAGGGUGAGUAGGCGGCAUGGUAAGCCAGAUGUGAAUGCCUUGGGCUUAACCCGAGGAUUGCAUUUGGAACUAUCAAGCUAGAGUACAGGAGAGGAAAGCGGAAUUCCUAGUGUAGCGGUGAAAUGCGUAGAUAUUAGGAAGAACACCAGGGGCGAAGGCGGCUUUAUGAACUGAAACUGACGCUGAGGCACGAAAGCGUGGGGAGCGAACAGGAUUAGAUACCCCAGUAGUC
This 443-nucleotide ribosomal RNA is filed under the name uncultured bacterium. Its description in RNAcentral is "partial 16S ribosomal RNA". It matches the Rfam family "Bacterial small subunit ribosomal RNA", at positions 338 to 795 of the family's 1533-position model. The record is from RNAcentral.